GUUGGAGGGAAAGGGAAUCUUGGGGAUCUUUUGAAGUCGGCGUAAAAGCGAAAGAGACAGAGAGAGCGCGAUUUGAUCAGGGAAAUACUUUUGAAGUUGGCAUGUGUGUGUGUGUGUCACUGAAGCCGUUCAUACCUACAAACAUACGUACAUAACCUCUCUCUCUCUCUCUCUCUCUCUCUCUCUCUCUC
Octopus sinensis (East Asian common octopus) is the source of this 191-nucleotide long non-coding RNA. RefSeq lists it as uncharacterized. NCBI's taxonomy places the organism in Eukaryota, Metazoa, Mollusca, Cephalopoda, Octopoda, Octopodidae. The transcript is spliced from 3 exons. The record is from RefSeq and is a predicted model, not a curated record.